UUGGUGCCUUUUCCUCUUCCACUACUCCAGACACGCCUUCUUCCAAAGAAGAUUUAGAAGUUCCAAACAUAUACCAGACUCUUCCUUUUCCAAUUCUGUUUUGCCUCUCUUUCUAAUUCGUUUUCCCUAAUUUGGUUUGCAGCUCCAAAAUCCCCAUUGUUACUCACUCAAGUCUUCGUCUCUGUUGAAUCUUCAAACUUUUGGCUGUGAGAAUUCUUGCAAAAAGUCCACAUUUGCUAGAAAUCUAAGGCACCUUCAAUUUGAGGCUGAUAUAAAUCCGCUCUUUCUUUACACCAGUCCCCGCAACAACCUACAAGUGUGGAAUGUGGGUUUUAUGUAAUGCGGUGUAUGAAAGACCUCAUUAAUGAUCAAAGCAUCCCAAGAAAACAAAAUUUCAAUGGAAAAAAGACAUACACAGAAGCCGAACUUGAUGAAGUG
Molecule: non-coding RNA, 438 nt
Organism: Camellia sinensis
Lineage: Eukaryota; Viridiplantae; Streptophyta; Magnoliopsida; Ericales; Theaceae
Source: RefSeq, a predicted model, not a curated record